Molecule: long non-coding RNA, 347 nt
Organism: Macrobrachium nipponense
Lineage: Eukaryota; Metazoa; Arthropoda; Malacostraca; Decapoda; Palaemonidae
Exons: 3
Source: RefSeq, a predicted model, not a curated record
AGCUGAUAUAGGUAGAUAGUACCACUACGACGACUUGAGAAAGCCAGGGCCCAUAGACAAUAAGGCGUGAAGGAUUCCCUAGAGUUACCCUUUCCUUGCUGGAGGACCUCUACCAUCGAAAGAAAAGUAAUGGGUGAUGUUAGUGCAAUAAGUGUUUGAGGAACAGAUAUUCAUGGAUGCGACUUUAAUUGUUUGUGGAGGUUGAGGCAUGGCUGAAUUGUGUCAUGGCAUCUGGUUGAAAAGGUGGAACUGUACUACAGUCAGUUUUUGGCAGCUGUUACCGCUUCAGUGAAAAUUAUGAGGAAGAAAUCAAUGACUCCACAGAGGAAGGGAGAUGGAAGUGUGUG